AUUGAACGCUGGCGGCAGGCCUAACACGUGCAAGUCGAGCGGAUGAAGGGAGCUUGCUCCUGGAUUCAGCGGCGGACGGGUGAGUAAUGCCUAGGAAUCUGCCUGGUAGUGGGGGAUAACGUCCGGAAACGGGCGCUAAUACCGCAUACGUCCUGAGGGAGAAAGUGGGGGAUCUUCGGACCUCACGCUAUCAGAUGAGCCUAGGUCGGAUUAGCUAGUUGGUGGGGUAAAGGCCUACCAAGGCGACGAUCCGUAACUGGUCUGAGAGGAUGAUCAGUCACACUGGAACUGAGACACGGUCCAGACUCCUACGGGAGGCAGCAGUGGGGAAUAUUGGACAAUGGGCGAAAGCCUGAUCCAGCCAUGCCGCGUGUGUGAAGAAGGUCUUCGGAUUGUAAAGCACUUUAAGUUGGGAGGAAGGGCAGUAAGUUAAUACCUUGCUGUUUUGACGUUACCAACAGAAUAAGCACCGGCUAACUUCGCG
RNAcentral lists this ribosomal RNA (484 nucleotides) under uncultured bacterium. Its description in RNAcentral is "partial 16S ribosomal RNA". It matches the Rfam family "Bacterial small subunit ribosomal RNA", at positions 30 to 507 of the family's 1533-position model. The record is from RNAcentral.